GAUGAAGAACGCAGCAAAAUGCGAUAAGUAAUGUGAAUUGCAGAAUUCAGUGAAUCAUCGAAUCUUUGAACGCACAUUGCGCCCGCCAGUAUUCUGGCGGGCAUGCCUGUUCGAGCGUCAUUUCAACCCUCAAGCACAGCUUGGUGUUGGGACUCGCGUUAAUUCGCGUUCCCCAAAUUGAUUGGCGGUCACGUCGAGCUUCCAUAGCGUAGUAGUAAAACCCUCGUUACUGGUAAUCGUCGCGGCCACGCCGUUAAACCCCAACUUCUGAAUGUUGACCUCGGAUCAGGUAGGAAUACCCGCUGAACUUAAGCAUAUCAAUAAGCGGACGA
Molecule: unclassified non-coding RNA, 332 nt
Filed under: soil metagenome
Description: partial contains 5.8S ribosomal RNA, internal transcribed spacer 2, and large subunit ribosomal RNA
Rfam family: 5.8S ribosomal RNA (bases 1-120)
Source: RNAcentral